This 301-nucleotide ribosomal RNA is filed under the name uncultured bacterium. Its description in RNAcentral is "partial 16S ribosomal RNA". It matches the Rfam family "Bacterial small subunit ribosomal RNA", at positions 509 to 808 of the family's 1533-position model. The record is from RNAcentral.
CAGUCGCCGCGGUAAUACGUAUGUCACGAGCGUUAUCCGGAUUUAUUGGGCGUAAAGCGCGUCUAGGUGGUUAUAUAAGUCUGAUGUGAAAAUGCAGGGCUCAACUCUGUAUUGCGUUGGAAACUGUAUAACUAGAGUACUGGAGAGGUAAGCGGAACUACAAGUGUAGAGGUGAAAUUCGUAGAUAUUUGUAGGAAUGCCGAUGGGGAAGCCAGCUUACUGGACAGAUACUGACGCUGAAGCGCGACAGCGUGGGUAGCAAACAGGAUUAGAUACCCCGGUAGUCCCUGUCUCUUAUACA